RNAcentral lists this long non-coding RNA (2884 nucleotides) under Nicotiana tabacum (common tobacco). RNAcentral's name for it is "long non-coding RNA (NTAB_LNC016706)". Lineage: Eukaryota; Viridiplantae; Streptophyta; Magnoliopsida; Solanales; Solanaceae. The record is from RNAcentral.
ACCUGUCAAAAUGAGUCCAGAAUACAACUAGAGAUAAAAUGAAAAUUUAGACAUAAAAUCUAUAACAAUUGGAGACAUCCACAAAAUACAACUGCUGCAGCUAACGCCUAACAAUGCUUCAAUUUCUGCAGCUUCAAAGUUCAAACAACAACCUAAGAGUCUUUGAAAUCACUCUGCAAUGGUAGAACCGUUUACAUUAUUAAUAGAAUUCAAGAAAUAACAAACUGCUAACAUCCAACAGCCUAGCACUAUAUAACUCAGAUGGUAGUAGGCUUGAAAUAUGACAGCUUGAGGGCACAAGACUUUACAAAAUGAGAUCAAUGAGUUUGCAGAUACACCUUAAAUUUGAACUAAUUAGUAGAAUUAUAUAAAUUGUUGAUCUAAAAAUUCUUGUUUGUUGUUAAUAUAUUAACAUAUUUAUUAACAUUGUAUUACAAUUUGAAUUCUUACCAGAUAUAUUAAUACUACACGUCAAUUACGGAAGGGUCUUUUCCAUCGCUGGCUAAAUCUGAAGAAACCAAAUUAAAAUAAUGAGUCGUGUGAUAAAUAUAAGCAUAUCCACAACACUUAUAUACAACAAAUAUAGUAACAAUAUUAUUACCUUGUUCAAGCUGCUCUAUUUUAUCAAUAUCUUCCUCAACACUAACAGGUUGUUUUAAUUUUUUAUUUCGAAGCCAAUCUUGAAGACACACUAGAGCUUGCACCAAUUUAGGAGUUAAUGAACUCCUAAAUGAAUCAAGAAGACGUACUCCCGAACUAAACGCACAUUGGGAUGCCACACUUGAAACUAGAACUGCUAAUACAUCACGAGCCAUAUCCGCAAGAACAGGAAAUCUAGCUGAGUUCAAUUUCCACCAGAGAAGAACAUCAAAUUUUUUAGUGUCAUCCUCAAUUUCUUCACCAAAAUAUUUAUCUGACUCUGUUUUAGUAUCCACACCUCCACUCCCACUUUUAUAUUUUUUUAUAUCUUGCAUUAGUGAUUCUAAAAGUCCUGUAUUUUGGGUGCUUACUUGACUGUCAGAAAGCCCGAGAGUAGUAGUGUCCAAUGAAGAACAAUCAGAAGAUGAAGCAAGCACGACACCUUUUGAGAUGAACUUUACAUACUCACUAAAUAAUGAAGUCAUGUACUUCUUCACUUCUGCUUGUAUAGUUUCCCCCGGAUCUUCACCAAACAACUUUACAAGUGCAUAACCAACUGAUUCGAGCUUAUAACGUGGAUCCAAAAUACAUGAGAUGAAAAUUAUCUUGUUCAUUUUCCCCGGAUCACCCCAAUACUUAUUAAACUUUUCCUUCAUCUUAUUUGCCAUUUCACUUAAAACUGUAUCUUUAUUUGCUAUCAAUUGCUUCAAAUAAACAACAACCACACAAAUUUCAAGAAAAUAAAUAUUCGAUGUAACAUAAUGUGAUCCAGAUAUUUUCAAAGUAAGAAGAUAGAAGAUUUCAAUAAACUUUGUAAUUCUUUUUACAUUCUCCCAAUCACUACUCAAAAGUUCACCUGUGGGAAUUCCAUCUUCAAUAUAAGAAUGCUCAAGAUAAUGUCUUAGGCCAAUUUCACUAGAUGCAUAAUGUGAAAAUGCACCUUCAAAUUCAACAUCCCUGCGCAACAUCAAGUAGGUGAAAUUCCACCUAGUUGGAAUAUCCAAGCAUAAAGUUUUUUUACAAUUGAGUUGUUCAUCAUCAAAACAUUCUUGAAACCUCUUCAACCUCGCAGGAGACUGCCUAACAUAUCUCACUGCAUGCCUAAUACGUUCAAUAGACACUGAAGAUUCUUUUAAACCAUCUUUGAUCACAAGAUUCAUGAUGCGAGCCAUACAUCUCACGUGAAGGUGAUUAUCGUUCAUCAAAUUAGUUCCCAUUUUUGUUAAUUGCUUAGACAAUUCUUUUAUUGUCACAUCAUUGGAGCUUGCAUUAUCAACUGUGACAGUGAAGAUCUUAUUUAUCCCCCACUCACGUAAGCACCUACCAAUACCAUUUACCAUAUCUUCGCCUUUAUGACUAACAAUAGGACAAAAAUUAAUUAUUCUUUUAUGCAUAUUCCAUUCACUAUCAAUCCAAUGGGCAGUGAUACACAUAUAAUUGAUUCUUUGCAUAGAAGUCCAGGUAUCCGUGGUAAUACACACUCUUUGUUUCGUUUCUAUAAAAGACCUCUUUAACUUUUGAUUUUCUUCAUUAAAAAGAUCAAAACAAUCCCUAGUUACAGUACUACGGGAAGGGAUCCGAAAAUAAGGUUGCGCCACUUUCAUAAAGUCUCUAAAACCUUCUUUCUCAACAAAGCUGAAAGGAAGCUCAUCAACUAUUACCAUACGACAUAACGCCUUCCUAUACUCUUCUUGAUCAAAUUUCCAAGUAACAACAGCUAUGUCACCCUGACUACCCACGGAACAGAUUGAAAACCUAAAUUUGAUUAUUUUUUAUCAACAAUAGCAGGGCGUUUAGGAUAUUUAAACAUAUGAUAAAGAAGUGUCAACGUACCGUCUUUGGUCUUAAAGUAAUACUCAAUAAAGCAAUAGUCACAUUUUGCUUUUGUACUCCCUUCGGAAGCAAUAAUUUCUGUAAAAUGAUCCCAUACAUUAGACCUUUUUCCCCUUUUUGGGUUAUAUUUGACUCCGUUGUUUCACAUUGGCUUAUUGCAUUUGAAUUAGAAGCCCCACUUUCACCCAUCAUCUUAUCACUUUGUAUAUUUUCAGCCAUGUUAUGAGUCACUACAACAAAAAAAGAAAAGGAAUGAAAAUAACAAUUUUCUUAAUGGAUAUUUAAACAGAAACUGUCAAAAUCGAUCUCAAAACAGCACAAAGCAGAGAAGGCAACAUUUGGAAUUUCAACAAGAAAAGAAACUUACCAUCUGCUGCUCUGGGCUCUGGUUAUGGCGAGAGGGAGAGGCGAG